This 429-nucleotide ribosomal RNA is filed under the name Actinomycetes bacterium. RNAcentral describes it as "Actinobacteria bacterium partial 16S ribosomal RNA". It matches the Rfam family "Bacterial small subunit ribosomal RNA", at positions 355 to 776 of the family's 1533-position model. The record is from RNAcentral. Lineage: Bacteria; Bacillati; Actinomycetota; Actinomycetes.
UAGGGAAUCUUCCGCAAUGGGCGAAAGCCUGACGGAGCGACGCCGCGUGAGUGAUGAAGGUCUUCGGAUCGUAAAACUCUGUUAUUAGGGAAGAACAAAUGUGUAAGUAACUAUGCACGUCUUGACGGUACCUAAUCAGAAAGCCACGGCUAACUACGUGCCAGCAGCCGCGGUAAUACGUAGGUGGCAAGCGUUAUCCGGAAUUAUUGGGCGUAAAGCGCGCGUAGGCGGUUUUUUAAGUCUGAUGUGAAAGCCCACGGCUCAACCGUGGAGGGUCAUUGGAAACUGGAAAACUUGAGUGCAGAAGAGGAAAGUGGAAUUCCAUGUGUAGCAGUGAAAUGCGCAGAGAUAUGGAGGAACACCAGUGGCGAAGGCGACUUUCUGGUCUGUAACUGACGCUGAUGUGCGAAAGCGUGGGGAUCAAACAGG